UACGUAGGGUGCAAGCGUUGUCCGGAAUUAUUGGGCGUAAAGGGCUCGUAGGCGGUGUGUCACGUCGGCCGUGAAAACCUGGGGCUUAACUCUGGGCGUGCGGUCGAUACGGGCAUCACUAGAGUUCGGCAGGGGAGACUGGAAUUCCUGGUGUAGCGGUGAAAUGCGCAGAUAUCAGGAGGAACACCGGUGGCGAAGGCGGUGAUCUGGGCCAGUACUGACGCUGAGGAGCGAAAGCGUGGGGAGCAAACAGG
RNAcentral lists this ribosomal RNA (254 nucleotides) under uncultured bacterium. Its description in RNAcentral is "partial 16S ribosomal RNA". It matches the Rfam family "Bacterial small subunit ribosomal RNA", at positions 524 to 776 of the family's 1533-position model. The record is from RNAcentral.